Molecule: ribosomal RNA, 508 nt
Filed under: uncultured bacterium
Lineage: Bacteria
Description: partial 16S ribosomal RNA
Rfam family: Bacterial small subunit ribosomal RNA
Source: RNAcentral
GACGAACGCUGGCGGCGUGCCUAAUACAUGCAAGUCGAACGCUUCUUUCCUCCUUAGUGCUUGCACUCAAUUGGAAAGAGGAGUGGCGGACGGGUGAGUAACACGUUGGUAACCUACCAAUCAGAGGGGGAUAACACUUGGAAACAGGUGCUAAUACCGCAUAACAGUUUAUGCCGCAUGGCAUAAGAGUGAAAGGCGCUGUCGGGUGUCGUUGAUGGAUGGUCGCGCGGUGCAUUAGCUAGUUGGUGAGGUAACGGCUUACCGAGGCCACGAUGCAUAGCCGACGUGAGAGGGUGAUAGGCCACACUGGAACUGGGACACGGACCAGACUCCUACGGGAGGCAGCAGUAGGGAAUCUUCGGCAAUAGUCGAAAGUCUGACCGAGCAACGCCGCGUGAGUGAAGAAGGUUUUCGGAUCGUAAAGCUCUGUUGCUAGAGAAGAACAAGGACGUCAGUAACUGAACGUCCCCUGACGGUAUCUAACCAGGAAGCAACGGCUAACUACGUG